This is a long non-coding RNA of Papaver somniferum (opium poppy), 262 nucleotides long. RefSeq lists it as uncharacterized. The record is from RefSeq and is a predicted model, not a curated record. Lineage: Eukaryota; Viridiplantae; Streptophyta; Magnoliopsida; Ranunculales; Papaveraceae. The transcript is spliced from 3 exons.
CAACGAUGAACUUUUGUCCCUACGGGGUAAUGGCGAUAUGUAAAUUGUUUUCAAUGACGACAUGUACAGGUUGAGCAAUGCAAUUAUAAACGGUCGUUUCAAUUUGUCAACAUUGGGACGCGUGAAGUCUGAGAGUGGUACAAGAACUGGUAGAGCUGGAAUAUGUGGAUAGAAAAAGAUGCAAAGUUCAACCAUAUUGCAAAGUUUGAGUUGUGGGAACCCCAUACUACUAAGCAGCUACUCAUCCACUUCUGCUUGUCUA